Pelobates cultripes (western spadefoot toad) is the source of this 1397-nucleotide non-coding RNA. The record is from the annotation of a GenBank genome assembly. NCBI's taxonomy places the organism in Eukaryota, Metazoa, Chordata, Amphibia, Anura, Pelobatidae.
AUUGUUUCCUGCAUAGAUGACAUUGCAGUUGAAACUGUUUUAUUCAAAGAUAGGUCCAAAAUAUUUUAAGUAUAGUCGGUGAGGAUUUCACAAUAAUUAGAUGUACAGGGUGCGGAGCCUGACUGUCCAACAUAGCAGACAUUUGCGGAGUGAGCUCCUGAGCUUUUCACACUAAUUAGUCGAUCAAACAGAUUGCAAUUUUUACCACAAGAACAUAGGGGAAACCUUAGCAAAAUGAAAGAUACCUGACUUUGAGCUUUCCUCGUCUGGAUCGUCUAAAUAGCACCUAUUGUGGCCUUGAAGCACAAAAGGCGUAGGAGAGGUGGCCACUCUCCAGACGCUGAACCCGGCUGAUAAACUCAGACUUCUCUGCUUCACCCUACCCCUUUGGAUUGGUAGGGAUUAUCCUGGUCUCAGGAGGCAAUCCUACACCAUACAUCCCGUAGCCCAGCGCUGAAACGUUACAAGGCUAACAGUGAUGACGGUGUCUGUAACCAGAGACUCGGCUGUGACCUUACUUACUGCAUCCCUUGCUAUGCUGGACCUAAUCCUUGUGAAAUUCGUAGCUCGCAUAAUGGCAAGACAUAGGGGCUCAUGGUCAUCUAGCCCGGAAAACCCUGUAGCCCAGCAGCAACCUACCUCUUUACCCAUGACAGCAUCAUUACAGCAACCCAAGCAAAGCCCGACAGGUCAGGUUGAUCCUUAUUCUAAACUGUGAAUGCUGGAAGAAUUUGGAUCUUCCAGUAAUUUUGGGCCCUAUGAACUCGAGGUGAGACCUGCAGUGGUUUGGAGAUGUGUCUUGGCCCAUUGUUCUGGGACUCUGCUCUUUCCUGCUUCUCAAGGUGGCAGUGACUGCCUAAUAGAGAUCCUGUGGCAAUUGUGUGCGGGACUACAACCUGCACUCCCAAGCUACAACUACCCAUACACAUGGGAUCUCCUGCAGAGAGCUCAGCUGUUCUCCCAUAAUUUUGGAAUUGGGUGAGGACAAAAGUGGUCCCUGGCUGUUCUUCAGCGAACUGUGGUGACUCCAUUCUCUUGGGCCUUACUCAUACUUUUUCCGAGGUGGACUUACGUUAUUUUAUUUUUUAUUUUAUAGUAGCUAACAGUCAAUCCAGCUGAAUUAAUCCCUAUGGUUACGUUGGUUGGUGGGCCUUUCAGAAUAUGUUACUUCCUGUGUUGUCGCUUACCCCAUGUUACAUUUUUUUUGUUUGUUUGUUUUCUUUUCUUCUUAUCUCAUUUACUCCUUAAUUGACACACACCUGUCUGAUUUACCUUUUAAAAAAAAUUAAAAAAUUAAUAAAUAUCAAAAUAAACAAAACUGUAGCAUUUCUCAGUACUUUGUUACAUAACCAAGACCUUUACUACGGUUAGUAGACAUUAUAAAUUGUCUUUCCAAG